GAUCUAUCCAAGAAUAUCUUACUCUGGAACCUGGUGUUCUUUUCAGUUCUUUCCCAGACAAAAGCUUUGCUCAUUUUAAUCAACCACCUUUACAGGCAAAGAUCACACUAUGGAUAUUUUACUGUUACAACAAUGAUCUAAGAUGCUGGGAGCAUAAAAAAUCUAAAGACAGUUGGAGAACUUUGGUUUACUAAUUUAAGGAAGAAAUGC
Molecule: long non-coding RNA, 210 nt
Filed under: Pelobates cultripes (western spadefoot toad)
Lineage: Eukaryota; Metazoa; Chordata; Amphibia; Anura; Pelobatidae
Source: RNAcentral